RNAcentral lists this ribosomal RNA (440 nucleotides) under uncultured bacterium. RNAcentral describes it as "bacterial SSU rRNA". It matches the Rfam family "Bacterial small subunit ribosomal RNA", at positions 338 to 775 of the family's 1533-position model. The record is from RNAcentral.
CCUACGGGUGGCAGCAGUGAGGAAUAUUGGUCAAUGGACGGAAGUCUGAACCAGCCAAGUAGCGUGCAGGAUGACGGCCCUAUGGGUUGUAAACUGCUUUUAUGCGGGGAUAAAGUUAGUCACGUGUGACUAUUUGCAGGUACCGCAUGAAUAAGGACCGGCUAAUUCCGUGCCAGCAGCCGCGGUAAUACGGAAGGUCCCGGCGUUAUCCGGAUUUAUUGGGUUUAAAGGGAGCGUAGGCCGUGGAUUAAGCGUGUUGUGAAAUGUAGACGCUCAACGUCUGACUUGCAGCGCGAACUGGUUCACUUGAGUGUGCGCAACGCAGGCGGAAUUCGUGGUGUAGCGGUGAAAUGCUUAGAUAUCACGAAGAACUCCGAUUGCGAAGGCAGCUUGCGGGAGCACAACUGACGCUGAAGCUCGAAAGUGCGGGUAUCAAACAG